Molecule: small nuclear RNA, 104 nt
Organism: Monodelphis domestica (gray short-tailed opossum)
Lineage: Eukaryota; Metazoa; Chordata; Mammalia; Didelphimorphia; Didelphidae
Source: RefSeq, a predicted model, not a curated record
GCUUGCUUUGGCAACACAUAUGCUAAAAUAGGAGCAAUAUAGAGAAGAUUUGCAUGGCCCCUAUGCAAAGAUAACAAGUAUUUUGUAAAGCAUUCUGUAUUAAA